Molecule: transfer RNA, 84 nt
Filed under: Oscillospiraceae bacterium
Lineage: Bacteria; Bacillati; Bacillota; Clostridia; Eubacteriales; Oscillospiraceae
Description: tRNA-Leu
Rfam family: tRNA
About the family: Transfer RNA (tRNA) molecules are approximately 80 nucleotides in length.
Source: RNAcentral
GCGAGAGUGGCGGAAUCGGCAGACGCGCACGUUUGAGGGGCGUGUAGGUUUCCUGUACGGGUUCAAGUCCCGUCUCUCGCACCA